CUAACACAUGCAAGUCGAGCGGUAGCAUGGUUAGUAGCAAUACUAACUGAUGACGAGCGGCGGACGGGUGAGGAACACGUAGGAACCUGCCCAAGAGAGGGGGAUAACUAAGGGAAACUUUAGCUAAUACCGCAUAAUUCUCUGAGGAGAAAAGUUGCCCGUCAGGGUAGCGCUUUUGGAGGGGCCUGCGUCCGAUUAGUUAGUUGGUGAGGUAAUGGCUCACCAAGACUGUGAUCGGUAACUGGUCUGAGAGGACGACCAGUCACACUGGGACUGAGACACGGCCCAGACUCCUACGGGAGGCAGCAGUGGGGAAUCUUGGACAAUGGGGGCAACCCUGAUCCAGCGAUGCCGCGUGGGUGAAGGAGGCCUUCGGGUUGUAAAGCCCUUUAGGCUGGGAAGAAGUUUAUGGGAUGAAUAAUCCUGUAAAUUGACGGUACCAGCAGAAUAAGCACCGGCAAACUCUGUGCCAGCCGCCGCUGUAA
RNAcentral lists this ribosomal RNA (485 nucleotides) under uncultured bacterium. RNAcentral describes it as "partial 16S ribosomal RNA". It matches the Rfam family "Bacterial small subunit ribosomal RNA", at positions 48 to 523 of the family's 1533-position model. The record is from RNAcentral.